Molecule: small nucleolar RNA, 58 nt
Filed under: Echinops telfairi (small Madagascar hedgehog)
Lineage: Eukaryota; Metazoa; Chordata; Mammalia; Afrosoricida; Tenrecidae
Description: Small nucleolar RNA SNORA32 (ENSETEG00000024120.1)
Source: RNAcentral
AAAACAACUUCCCGCUAGGUUUUGUCUUUGCAACCUUACUAGCACUCAACAGAUUUGG